GCAUAUCAAUAAGCGGAGGAAAAGAAACCAACCGGGAUUGCCUUAGUAACGGCGAGUGAAGCGGCAAGAGCUCAAAUUUGAAAUCUGGUACCUUUGGUGCCCGAGUUGUAAUUUGUAGAGCAGUACUUUUGUUAUGGGCUUUGCCUAUGUUCCUUGGAACAGGACGUCAUGGAGGGUGAUAAUCCCGUAUGGCGAGGUGACCGUAGCUAUGUGAGUAUUGUUCGACGAGUCGAGUUGUUUGGGAAUGCAGCUCUAAGUGGGUGGUAUACUCCAUCUAAAGCUAAAUAUCAGCGAGAGACCGAUAGCGAACAAGUACAGUGAUGGAAAGAUGAAAAGAACUUUGAAAAGAGAGUGAAAAAGUACGUGAAAUUGUUGAAAGGGAAGGGCAUUUGAUCAGACAUGGUAGGUAGUGCCCUGUGCUCCUUGUGGGUGCGGGAAUUUCGCUGCUUACUGGGCCAGCAUGAGUUUUGGGGCCUCGACAAAGACGCUGUAAUGUAGCUUUGCACAUUGUGUUUAGUGUUAUAGACAGUGUUAAUGGGGGCACCUGGGACUGAGGUCUGCGACUUUUGUCAAGGAUGCUGGCAUAAUGGUUAAAUGCCGCCCGUCUUGAAACACGGACC
Molecule: ribosomal RNA, 620 nt
Filed under: Tetrapisispora iriomotensis
Lineage: Eukaryota; Fungi; Ascomycota; Saccharomycetes; Saccharomycetales; Saccharomycetaceae
Description: eukaryotic LSU rRNA
Rfam family: Eukaryotic large subunit ribosomal RNA
Source: RNAcentral